AAAAAUUUAGUUAAAAUUAUAACAUUAGCUUGUCAAGCUAAAAUUAUCAAAAAGAUAAUUUUUA
Molecule: transfer RNA, 64 nt
Filed under: Diabrotica barberi (northern corn rootworm)
Lineage: Eukaryota; Metazoa; Arthropoda; Insecta; Coleoptera; Chrysomelidae
Description: tRNA-Asp
Source: RNAcentral